UACGACUACAUAUCAGGCAUAUCAAUAAGCGGAGGAAAAGAAACUAACAAGGAUUCCCUUAGUAACGGCGAGUGAAGCGGGAAGAGCUCAAAUUUGGAAAUCUUCAAGGGUUCUACCUUUACGAAUUGUAGUUUAAAGAAGUGUUUUCUGUUAGGAGUUAGGCUAAAAGUUCCUUGGAAUAGGGACAUCAUAGAGGGUGAGAAUCCCGUAUUUGACGUUAUUCAUUCUAGCUGUGUGAUACACUUUCAAAGAGUCGGAUUGUUUGGGAAUGCAGUCCAAGAUGGGUGGUAAAUUUCAUCUAAAGCUAAAUAUUGGCGAGAGACCGAUAGCGAACAAGUACCGUGAGGGAAAGAUGAAAAGAACUUUGUAAAGAGAGUUAAACAGUACGUGAAAUUGUCAAAAGGGAAGCGUUUGACACCAGUGUUGUUUAGUUGAAAAUCAAUUCAAUAGUUCUUGAUUCUAAGUAGUAUUGACUUCAUCAGCUUGCUGCUUUCUUCUCAGAAAUUAUUGAAUGCACUUUUCAGUUAACAAGUCAACAUCAAUUUCUUUUGUUGUAAAAGGGUAAGAGGAAGGUGGCUUGCGCUUCGGCUCAAGUGUUUAUAGCCUUUUAUCUCUGCAAUCGGAGAGAUUGAGGUCUGCAGCGUAGAUCCUUCGGGGUUAGAUACAUUGGUGCUAAGCUAUAGCCUUGUAUAGACAACUUGUUGACUAUGCUCAGUCAUGUAGCUUACUCGCUGAUGCUAUUUUACCUACGCUUAGGAUGUUGAGUAGCGACAUACGCAC
Molecule: ribosomal RNA, 780 nt
Filed under: uncultured Neocallimastigales
Lineage: Eukaryota; Fungi; Neocallimastigomycota; Neocallimastigomycetes; Neocallimastigales
Description: partial large subunit ribosomal RNA
Rfam family: Eukaryotic large subunit ribosomal RNA
Source: RNAcentral